Molecule: long non-coding RNA, 1957 nt
Organism: Stegostoma tigrinum
Lineage: Eukaryota; Metazoa; Chordata; Chondrichthyes; Orectolobiformes; Stegostomatidae
Exons: 3
Source: RefSeq, a predicted model, not a curated record
CUCGACAAGUUGCAACUGGAAGUUAUGGCCAGGCUUUGGAGACAGGUCUUACCUGUAGUGGUCGUCCCCGGCUCAAUGCUGGCUCAGACUCCGGGCUGAAGGGUCUCAGCUCCACCGCCUGCUGCAGCGAACGCCAGGAACUCCGCUUCUGCUCUGUAGCCGUGAACACACACCGAGACCGUAUCCGUAGCUGUUGCUUGCGCACAUGGAUGAUCCGAAACCACCCAAAGUUAAAGCCCAAGACGAUCAGAAGCUCAUCUGGAAUUGUAAGGAAAUGCAAAUACGUGGGAGUAAAUUGUAGACCACAGAUAGGAGGAAAUAGCAUGUAUUGCCGAUGAGGGGAUCUGUGCGAAUUAGAACUGGAAACAACAAGCAGCAUUCCUGGAUGACAUUUAAGCCUGCCUCAAGUUCACACCUCCUUGAAAUCCUGUUUUGGAAAUGUCUGGUAUUCACCUUCAAAGAUGAUGGAUUCCACAACCUGACAUAACUUUUAUGCUGAACAAUCUCCAACUUUAACAGAAUUUGGUAUGACCAUACUGGCAUCCAUCUGAACAUGCCUGUGCUUUUCACCUGAGUGAUAGAAUUGUCAAUGGAUUCUGAUUCACAUGACUUAAUAUCUAAACUUUAGUUUUAAACUAUGCCUUGUUGUAUAAUGUUUUAUUUUCCUUUUUCUUUCUUGUGUGUGCAAAGUCACAAAGGCCAACAUGGGUUUGAAUGUGUGAAUAAAUAAGACUCCUGAAUUAGACAGAGGAGACAUUGUUAAAUUAAGGUCACUCAAAAAUGAAGUUUAAAAGCACACCACAGCCUAUCUGAAAAGUUAACCACUCUUAUGGACAGAAUGCAAGGAGCAGAUAAGAGUUCAAUUUGUCCUUGUCUGUAAUACAAUGAAUAAUUUAUUAUACUGCAUUAUGAACUUUACUCCGUCCAUUUAAUUGCCUAAGGGAAUUUUUAUAUAUACACAUGUGCUAGUCUAAAAAUAUUGGUAUAGGAAUUUAUCCUACGAAGUAACUGUUCAUUACCACUAAUGAUGUUAUGGUCGCAAUUUUUGGCAGAUUUUAAAUGGGCAUCUUUAAUUUUUUUUACAUCUUAUGUAAUACAUUUGACAAUUCACCUCAUUGUAUUCAUUCACUAUAACAAAAUCAGACCUUACUCCUUUUAUACAGAAUAUUGUUCAGUUUGUUUUCUUCACAAUACCUCAAUGUAAUCUUUAUGUCAAGUCACACCUUACAACUGAGGCAUAUUCAUGGUAAAGGAAAGCAUACGCUGGAUUGGGAUCUGAAAGGGGCUUUACACCUGGAGGCAACUGGCUAAGGUACUGAAAGAGUUUAUUGCAUCUAUGUUUAUGAAAGAAGAAAAUGCCACCCCAGUCAUAAAGUGAAAGGAGACAAGUGAGAUAGUGGAUGGACUAAAAUUUGAGGAAAAAGUAGGAGCACUAAACAAUCUGGCUAUAAUUAUAGUUAAUAAGUCAUCAAGACAAGAUGAAAUGUGUCUAGGGAACAGAAGAGAAGGGUGGAAGUAUGGAAAUACUGAUCAUAACCAAGUGUUCUCUUUGGGUACAGGGUUAUGCCAGAGGGCUGGGAAAUUGUUCAAAUGGUGUAAAGAUUACCUGAGGGACAACACUUCCAUUGUGGUGAUGGGAAAACUCUUAGAAAUGAUAAAUUAGGGCAAAACAAACUUGUUUGAACGAAUGUAGAUUAGUUAAGGAAAACCAGCAUGGAUUUGUACAGGGAAAAUCAUGUUUAACUAUUUUGCUCAAUAUUUUGAUGAGGUCACAGAGGAUGAUGAUUAUGAUACUGCUGGUAUGACGUAGGUAGAUCUCCAGAAGGGAUUUGAUAUAAUAAUGUAUAGCAGCUCUGUUGGUAAAGUUAGAGCUCAUGGAAUAAAACGAACACAGAACAAAAAUGCUGGAGAAAUUCAUCAUGUCCAGAAGCUUCUAUAGAGAGAGAAUCGGGGUGCG